RNAcentral lists this ribosomal RNA (2309 nucleotides) under Escherichia coli. RNAcentral describes it as "partial 23S ribosomal RNA". It matches the Rfam family "Bacterial large subunit ribosomal RNA", at positions 418 to 2712 of the family's 2925-position model. The record is from RNAcentral. Lineage: Bacteria; Pseudomonadati; Pseudomonadota; Gammaproteobacteria; Enterobacterales; Enterobacteriaceae.
CGGGACACGUGGUAUCCUGUCUGAAUAUGGGGGGACCAUCCUCCAAGGCUAAAUACUCCUGACUGACCGAUAGUGAACCAGUACCGUGAGGGAAAGGCGAAAAGAACCCCGGCGAGGGGAGUGAAAAAGAACCUGAAACCGUGUACGUACAAGCAGUGGGAGCACGCUUAGGCGUGUGACUGCGUACCUUUUGUAUAAUGGGUCAGCGACUUAUAUUCUGUAGCAAGGUUAACCGAAUAGGGGAGCCGAAGGGAAACCGAGUCUUAACUGGGCGUUAAGUUGCAGGGUAUAGACCCGAAACCCGGUGAUCUAGCCAUGGGCAGGUUGAAGGUUGGGUAACACUAACUGGAGGACCGAACCGACUAAUGUUGAAAAAUUAGCGGAUGACUUGUGGCUGGGGGUGAAAGGCCAAUCAAACCGGGAGAUAGCUGGUUCUCCCCGAAAGCUAUUUAGGUAGCGCCUCGUGAAUUCAUCUCCGGGGGUAGAGCACUGUUUCGGCAAGGGGGUCAUCCCGACUUACCAACCCGAUGCAAACUGCGAAUACCGGAGAAUGUUAUCACGGGAGACACACGGCGGGUGCUAACGUCCGUCGUGAAGAGGGAAACAACCCAGACCGCCAGCUAAGGUCCCAAAGUCAUGGUUAAGUGGGAAACGAUGUGGGAAGGCCCAGACAGCCAGGAUGUUGGCUUAGAAGCAGCCAUCAUUUAAAGAAAGCGUAAUAGCUCACUGGUCGAGUCGGCCUGCGCGGAAGAUGUAACGGGGCUAAACCAUGCACCGAAGCUGCGGCAGCGACGCUGAUGCGUUGUUGGGUAGGGGAGCGUUCUGUAAGCCUGUGAAGGUGUGCUGUGAGGCAUGCUGGAGGUAUCAGAAGUGCGAAUGCUGACAUAAGUAACGAUAAAGCGGGUGAAAAGCCCGCUCGCCGGAAGACCAAGGGUUCCUGUCCAACGUUAAUCGGGGCAGGGUGAGUCGACCCCUAAGGCGAGGCCGAAAGGCGUAGUCGAUGGGAAACAGGUUAAUAUUCCUGUACUUGGUGUUACUGCGAAGGGGGGACGGAGAAGGCUAUGUUGGCCGGGCGACGGUUGUCCCGGUUUAAGCGUGUAGGCUGGUUUUCCAGGCAAAUCCGGAAAAUCAAGGCUGAGGCGUGAUGACGAGGCACUACGGUGCUGAAGCAACAAAUGCCCUGCUUCCAGGAAAAGCCUCUAAGCAUCAGGUAACAUCAAAUCGUACCCCAAACCGACACAGGUGGUCAGGUAGAGAAUACCAAGGCGCUUGAGAGAACUCGGGUGAAGGAACUAGGCAAAAUGGUGCCGUAACUUCGGGAGAAGGCACGCUGAUAUGUAGGUGAAGCGACUUGCUCGUGGAGCUGAAAUCAGUCGAAGAUACCAGCUGGCUGCAACUGUUUAUUAAAAACACAGCACUGUGCAAACACGAAAGUGGACGUAUACGGUGUGACGCCUGCCCGGUGCCGGAAGGUUAAUUGAUGGGGUCAGCGCAAGCGAAGCUCUUGAUCGAAGCCCCGGUAAACGGCGGCCGUAACUAUAACGGUCCUAAGGUAGCGAAAUUCCUUGUCGGGUAAGUUCCGACCUGCACGAAUGGCGUAAUGAUGGCCAGGCUGUCUCCACCCGAGACUCAGUGAAAUUGAACUCGCUGUGAAGAUGCAGUGUACCCGCGGCAAGACGGAAAGACCCCGUGAACCUUUACUAUAGCUUGACACUGAACAUUGAGCCUUGAUGUGUAGGAUAGGUGGGAGGCUUUGAAGUGUGGACGCCAGUCUGCAUGGAGCCGGCCUUGAAAUACCACCCUUUAAUGUUUGAUGUUCUAACGUUGACCCGUGAUCCGGGUUGCGGACAGUGUCUGGUGGGUAGUUUGACUGGGGCGGUCUCCUCCUAAAGAGUAACGGAGGAGCACGAAGGUUGGCUAAUCCUGGUCGGACAUCAGGAGGUUAGUGCAAUGGCAUAAGCCAGCUUGACUGCGAGCGUGACGGCGCGAGCAGGUGCGAAAGCAGGUCAUAGUGAUCCGGUGGUUCUGAAUGGAAGGGCCAUCGCUCAACGGAUAAAAGGUACUCCGGGGAUAACAGGCUGAUACCGCCCAAGAGUUCAUAUCGACGGCGGUGUUUGGCACCUCGAUGUCGGCUCAUCACAUCCUGGGGCUGAAGUAGGUCCCAAGGGUAUGGCUGUUCGCCAUUUAAAGUGGUACGCGAGCUGGGUUUAGAACGUCGUGAGACAGUUCGGUCCCUAUCUGCCGUGGGCGCUGGAGAACUGAGGGGGGCUGCUCCUAGUACGAGAGGACCGGAGUGGACGCAUCACUGG